Molecule: non-coding RNA, 29 nt
Filed under: Homo sapiens (human)
Lineage: Eukaryota; Metazoa; Chordata; Mammalia; Primates; Hominidae
Source: RNAcentral
UGCGGAGUCUGAGCUUCAGACAGGGAAGG